GCAAAGGUGCCUUUGGCUCCCGGAUGUUAGCGGCGGACGGGUGAGUAACACGUGGGUAACCUGCCUGUAAGACUGGGAUAACUCCGGGAAACCGGAGCUAAUACCGGAUAGUUCCUUGAACCGCAUGGUUCAAGGAUGAAAGACGGUUUCGGCUGUCACUUACAGAUGGACCCGCGGCGCAUUAGCUAGUUGGUGAGGUAACGGCUCACCAAGGCGACGAUGCGUAGCCGACCUGAGAGGGUGAUCGGCCACACUGGGACUGAGACACGGCCCAGACUCCUACGGGAGGCAGCAGUAGGGAAUCUUCCGCAAUGGACGAAAGUCUGACGGAGCAACGCCGCGUGAGUGAUGAAGGUUUUCGGAUCGUAAAGCUCUGUUGUUAGGGAAGAACAAGUGCAAGAGUAACUGCUUGCACCUUGACGGUACCUAACCAGAAAGCCACGGCUAACUACGUGCCAGCAGCCGCGGUAAUACGUAGGUGGCAAGCGUUGUCCGGAAUUAUUGGGCGUAAAGGGCUCGCAGGCGGUUUCUUAAGUCUGAUGUGAAAGCCCCCGGCUCAACCGGGGAGGGUCAUUGGAAACUGGGAAACUUGAGUGCAGAAGAGGAGAGUGGAAUUCCACGUGUAGCGGUGAAAUGCGUAGAGAUGUGGAGGAACACCAGUGGCGAAGGCGACUCUCUGGUCUGUAACUGACGCUGAGGAGCGAAAGCGUGGGGGAGCGAACAGGAUUAGAUACCCUGGUAGUCCACGCCGUAAACGAUGAGUGCUAAGUGUUAGGGGGUUUCCCGCCCCCCUUAAUUGCUGCAGCUAACGCAUUAAGCCACUCCGCCC
This 829-nucleotide ribosomal RNA is filed under the name Bacillus sp. (in: firmicutes). Its description in RNAcentral is "bacterial SSU rRNA". It matches the Rfam family "Bacterial small subunit ribosomal RNA", at positions 68 to 873 of the family's 1533-position model. Lineage: Bacteria; Bacillati; Bacillota; Bacilli; Caryophanales; Bacillaceae. The record is from RNAcentral.